Molecule: ribosomal RNA, 340 nt
Filed under: uncultured bacterium
Lineage: Bacteria
Description: bacterial SSU rRNA
Rfam family: Bacterial small subunit ribosomal RNA
Source: RNAcentral
GACGAACGCUGGCGGCGUGCUUAACACAUGCAAGUCGAGCGGUAAGGCCCUUUCGGGGGUACACGAGCGGCGAACGGGUGAGUAACACGUGGGUGACCUGCCCUCAGCUCUGGGAUAAGCCUGGGAAAACCGGGUCUAAUACCGGAUAUGACUCCAUGACGCAUGUUGUGGGGUGGAAAGCCUUGUGCGGCUGAGGAUGGGCCCGCGGCCUAUCAGCUUGUUGGUGGGGUGANGGCCUACCAAGGCGACGACGGGUAGCCGGCCUGAGAGGCGACCGGCCACACUGGGACUGAGACACGGCCCAGACUCCUACGGGAGGCAGCAGUGGGGAAUCUUGCGC